This 180-nucleotide ribosomal RNA is filed under the name uncultured fungus. Its description in RNAcentral is "partial 18S ribosomal RNA". It matches the Rfam family "Eukaryotic small subunit ribosomal RNA", at positions 547 to 726 of the family's 1831-position model. The record is from RNAcentral. Lineage: Eukaryota; Fungi.
UUUGGAGGGCAAGUCUGGUGCCAGCAGCCGCGGUAAUUCCAGCUCCAAUAGCGUAUAUUAAAGUUGUUGCAGUUAAAAAGCUCGUAGUUGAAUUUCGGGGUUAGUAGGUUGGUCAUGCCUCUGGUAUGUACUGGUCUCACUGAUUCCUCCUUCCUGACGAACCUUAAUGCCAUUAAUUUG